UACGGGGGGAGCAAGCGUUGUUCGGAUUUACUGGGCGUAAGGGCGCGUCGGCGGCCUCCGCAAGUCGACUGUGAAGUCUCUGGGCUUAACCCAGAACGGUCAGCCGAUACUGCGGGGCUAGAGUGCAGAAGGGGCAACUGGAAUUCUCGGUGUAGCGGUGAAAUGCGUAGAUAUCGAGAGGAACACCUGCGGCGAAGGCGGGUUGCUGGGCUGACACUGACGCUGAGGCGCGAAAGCUAGGGGAGCGAACGGG
This 253-nucleotide ribosomal RNA is filed under the name uncultured bacterium. RNAcentral's name for it is "partial 16S ribosomal RNA". It matches the Rfam family "Bacterial small subunit ribosomal RNA", at positions 524 to 776 of the family's 1533-position model. The record is from RNAcentral.